GACGAACGCUGGCGGCGUGCUUAACACAUGCAAGUCGAACGGAAAGGCCCUGCUUUUGUGGGGUGCUCGAGUGGCGAACGGGUGAGUAACACGUGAGUAACCUGCCCUUGACUUUGGGAUAACUUCAGGAAACUGGGGCUAAUACCGGAUAGGAGCUCCUGCUGCAUGGUGGGGGUUGGAAAGUUUCGGCGGUUGGGGAUGGACUCGCGGCUUAUCAGCUUGUUGGUGGGGUAGUGGCUUACCAAGGCUUUGACGGGUAGCCGGACUGAGAGGGUGACCGGCCACAUUAAGAAGGAGACACGGCCCAGACGCCUACGUGAGACAGCAGUGAGGCAUAUUACACGAUGGGCGAAAGCCUGAUGCAGCAACGCGGCGUGCGGGAUGACGGCCGUCGGGUUGUAAACCGCUUUCGCCUGUGACGAAGCGUGAGUGGCGCGAAGGGGCAAAGAAGCACCGGGUAAAUCAGUG
This 468-nucleotide ribosomal RNA is filed under the name uncultured bacterium. RNAcentral describes it as "partial 16S ribosomal RNA". It matches the Rfam family "Bacterial small subunit ribosomal RNA", at positions 28 to 507 of the family's 1533-position model. The record is from RNAcentral.